This 5523-nucleotide long non-coding RNA is filed under the name Sus scrofa (pig). RNAcentral's name for it is "lncRNA (ENSSSCG00055007191.1)". Lineage: Eukaryota; Metazoa; Chordata; Mammalia; Artiodactyla; Suidae. The record is from RNAcentral.
UUUUUUUUUUUUUUUAAUAAAUUUUACUGGAAUAUAGUUGACUUAGAUAAUUGUGUUAGUUUCAGGUAUCCAGCAAAGUAAAUCAGUAAAUCUGCCCAUUCACAAUAAAAAUUAGGAAAGGCUUGCCCUGCAGCUCUCUAUUGGUACCCUCUUUAAGUCACACUGUUUCAUAAUGAUAUUUAUAAGUGUACUAUCCUUUUCUAAAGUACAAGCUACUUGAAGGCAAGAGCUGUGCUUUACUUACUUUUAUAUACAUUAAAAUAAGUAAAAUAAUAGAUGAUUAAAACAUUAUGAAUUAAUUUAUCUUAUUCGAUUCUCCUAAUAAUACUAUAAAACUACAAUCUUUAUCUUUCACAACUGUAAAUGAGGUAAAAUAAAGUGGUGAUAUGUCUUAUUCUCAUGUGUAGCUGAUUUUUAAAUGCUCUUCAAAUACAUUAAAAAGCAUGUAUCUUUGUUUUAAAAUAUAUUUGAAUACAUUUCCUUUACACUUAAAAAGAUUGUAUGGUGUUGUGCUUUAUAUUUGCAACUAGAGGUUACCAAGUUAAUGUGUAAUCAAUAUUUUAUUACCUACUACCUAUGUGGACACUCUUUCUUUGGGUUACAGCCACAGCAAUUGUUUUCAAGACUUCAAGACUUCUUUUUAUCUACUCACAAGCUGGUUUGACUCUUCAAACAAGUGUGUUGCAUUGAGUGAGACGUUACUAGCAAUGAUUACAGACUAUAAAAUUACCAACAUAGAAACUAUGAAGUCUUCUCAGUAAAGCUAAUCUCAUCAUCUGAGGAUUAGAUAUGCCUAUAAAUUUUCAUCUUUCUGCCUUACCCUACUUCAUCAGUACUUUUGGUCUCAGGGAAAAGCAUGCCCAGGAGGGAAACAAAAAAAGAUAGAAAUCAAUUCUAUACCAUCUCUUCCAGAAAAUAAAAGCAGAGGGAAGCUCUCAAACUCAUCCUGAGGCCAGCAUUGCCUUAAUGAUGAAAUCAGGAAAGAUAUUGCUAAGAAGGAAAAUUACAGACUAUUUUUCUCAUGACCAAGAUGCAAAAAUCCUCAGCAAAAUAUUAACAGAUCAAACCAGCAAGGUAUAAAAGGAAUAAUACACUAAGACUAAAUGGGAUUUAUCUGAAGUAUGCAAGAUUGGUUCAACAUUUAAAAAUCUAUUAAGGAAAUCUACCACAUCAACAGGUUAAGAAGAAAAAUCAUACAUAAUAGAUGGAUAAAAAUGAUCUGACAAAAUCCAAUAUCCAUUCAUGGUAAAAAUCAUCAAAACAUUAGAAAUAAAGAGGAAUUUUCUUAAUUUGAUAAAGAACAUCUACAGAAAACCUAAUCUUACAGUUAAUGGUGAGAAAAUAGAUGCAUUCCCCUUAAGAUGGCGAAUAAGUCAAAGAUGUUUUCUCUCACCUCUGCUAUUUGCCAUCAUACUGAAAGUCCUAGCUAAUGCAAUAAGACAAAAAAAAAAAUGACAUAAAGGGUACAUAGAUUAGGAAGGAAGAAACAGUACUAUCUCUGCCUUGAAGAUAAUCAUUGUCUCUUUAGAAAAUCUUACAGAAUAGACAAAAAAGAACUGAUAGGUGGUUAAAUACUUAGGUAUAACUGUAACAGAAUAUGUAUAAAUAUUUAUUAGUAAAAGUACAAAACUCUGAUGAAUGAAAUCACAGAUCUAACUAACUGAAGAGACAUUCCAUGUUAAUCAAGAGGGCUGACAAUAUUAAGAUGUAAAUUUUUCCAAAUUGAUAUAUAGAUCCAACACAAUACCAACCAGAAUCCCAGCAGGUUAUUUUGUGGAUAUCCACACAUUAAUUCAAAAAUUUAUAUGAAAGGCAAAGGACCCAAAAUGGCCAACACAAUAUUCAAGAAAAUAAAAACAAGAGACUUAACACUACCUGAUUUCAAACAUAAUAUAAAACUAUAAUGAUCAAGAAAAUGUGGUCUUAGCAAAAGAAUUGACAAGUACAUUAAUGGAACAGAACAGAAAGUCCAGAAAUUUACUCAUAUAAAUAGUCUCUGAUCUUUGACUAGGAACAAAGGCAAUUCAAUUGGAAAGCAUAGUAUUUUCAACAAAUGGUGCUGGAACAAUAGGACAACUACAUGCAAAAAAAAAAAAAAAACUACAUACCUUAUACUUUUACACCUUUCACAAGAAUUAGCUCAAAGUGGAUCAAAAGCCUAAGAAUAAAAUGCAAAAAUAUAAAAUUUAUAGAUGGCAAAAUUUGAGAAAAUCCAGAGGAUUUGAGUUUACUAAGUUUACAUCAAAAUCAUGACUCAUGAAAGAUUAAAAUUAACAAAUUGGACUUCAUUAAAAUUUUAAAAUUCUACUCUGUGAAAGACAAUGUUGAGAAAAUGAAAAGAAAAGCACAGCCUGGGAGAAAAUAUUUGCAAAACACAUAUCUGAUAAAGUACCUACAUUUAAAACACUAAGAACUGUUAAAUUUUUAACAAUAAGAAAACAAAAGACUCAAGCAGAAAAUGGCGCAAAGAUCUGAACAGACACCUUGCCAAAGAAAAAUAUAUGAUGACAAGUAAGCAUUAAGAAAAGAUGCUAGACAUCAUAUAUCAUUAGGGAAUUGAAAAUUAAAAUGAGUUACCACAACAGGUCUAUUAGAAUAACCAAAGUCCAAAGCACUGACAACACCAAAUGCUGAUGAAGAUGUGUAGCAACAGGAACUCUCAUCCAUUGCUGUUGGGGAUGCUAAAUGUACAGCUGCAUUUUAGAAGACAGUCUUGCGGUUUCUUACAAAGUCAAACAUAGGCUUAGUAUAUAGUCCAGUGAUCACACCACUUGGUGUUUACCCAAAGGAAAUGAAAACUUAGGUCUACACAAAAACCUGCACGUAAAUGUUUGUAGCAGCUUUAUUCAUUAUGGUCAAAAAUUGGAAACAACAAAAAUGUCCUUCAAUAGGUAAAUGGAUAAACAAAUUGGUAUAUCCAUACAAGGUACAUUAUUCAGCAAUUAAAAGAAAUGAGCUAACAAGUUAUAAAGAGACAUGGAGGAAACUUAAAUGCCUAUUGCUGAGUAAAAUAAGCCAGUCUGAAAAAGCCACAUGCUAUAUUAUUCCAACUUUAUAUGACAUUUUACAAAAGGCAAAACUAUAGAAACAGUAAAAAGAUAAGUGGUUGCCAGGAUUUAAGGUGGAAGGUAGAAGGGAGAAACAUUUUGAUCUUAGGGAAAUUUUAGUGCAGUGAAUUUAUUCUUUGUAACACUGUGGACGAUAUGCUACUAUGCAUUUAUGAAAACCCUGAGAAUUGUGCAAGAUACAGAGUGAACCCUAAUAUAAACUGUAGUCAUUAAAUAAUAGUAUCAAUGUUGCUUUACCGGCUGUGGAAAUAUAUCACAUUAAUGCAAGAAACUAUGGAGGUGAAGGACAUAUAGGAACUCUAUUUUCUGCACCAUAUCUCUGUAUACCUAAAAUUGUUCUAAAAAAUUUAUAUUAAAAAGAGAAAUUUAUUUCCUAAGAUCAGAUGCCCACCUGCACUUAAAAAUUAGCCUAUUGGCCCAGCUUUCUAAAUUGUCCUUGAUAAUCUUGACUUUGUUUCUCUACUGACUUCUCUAGACAUGGAUAUUUUGCUUGAGAGCCCUAGGGACUUUCUAGCCCUUUCCCACGUGGCCAAAUAUUAGUCUUGGUCUUAGAUUCUCCUAUCCAAACUUGUCUGAAUGAUGAAUAGUCAUCUCACUAUAGCUCAAAAUGAUGGUAAGUAAGCAUGGACUAUGAUUUUUCCUUUCUGACACUCACAUUACUGGACACUCAGAGAUGUCACUGAACAUUCAGAAGGGGUCAUUAUUAUCCAGGUCCCUGACCCAGAAAUAGUGAGAUCUGAUAUUUUCUUCCCGAUCCAGGGAUGCACACAAGUUCUCCUCGGCUCCGCUAAAUCUUGAAUUUGUGCCUGAUCUGUCUUGGCCCAGACGUGCAGGCAACAUUACCUAAGAAGUCGCAAGGUGUUCAAGUCAGUCAGGAGUAAGUCAAAGAAAACCAUGCUGGUAUUCAAGAAAUCCUUUCCAAAAUCAGUGUUGCUUUGCACUAACUGCCUGGUCUCUCUUGAGCAAGCUGGUCUAAGUUUCAAGUUCCAAGAUCUCUUUCAGUUGCCAUUUUCCUGCAUCUAGCAGCACACAGAGGGUCAACAUUUUCUGCUCCUGCCCACCACCCAGCUUUACUGAAAUAUUACUCAUGUAACUUUGUAUAUGUUUAAAGUAUACAGUGUGAUGACUUAAUACACAUAUCUAACAGGUACUGAAGAGGUACUAAACAUCAGGAAUUGUCAGGGGAAUGCAAAUCAAAACCACAAUGAGAUAUCUUCUUACACCUGUUAGAAUGACUAUUUUCAGAAAGAUAAGAGCUAACAAACACUGGUGAGGAUGAACAGAAAAGGGAACCCUGGUACACUUUUGGUAUGAAGUACAGCCAUUAUGGAAAACAAUAUGGAGUUUCCUCAAAAAAUUAAAAAUAGAACUCCCUUAUAAUCCAGCAGUUCCACUUAGGGUAUAUAUCUGAAGGUGAAAUUAUUACUUCAAAGAGAUAUCUACACACUCAUGUUCAUUGAAGCUUUAUUCAUAAUAACCAAGAUGUGAACACAAUCUAAGUAUCCAACAGUGGAUGAGCAAAUAAAGGAAAUGUGAUGGGUGUAUAAUAAUAAUUAUAUAUGUAAUAAUAAUAAAAAUGUAUAUAUAUUAGCCAUAAAAAUAGGAGACCCUGACAUUUGCAACAAUAUGGAUGGACUUUCAAGGUAAAUUCAAGCAUUUUUGGAAAGCAUUUACCCUAUUAGCCCCACAUACAAUUCCUUAUUCUAGCUUGGAUCGGUGAGCUUUCAUAAAAAACAUCUUAUCAUCCAGUCUUUUCAGAAGCUUGCCCAGUGGAGUUCAGGCAAGACUAGUGUUACUUCACUGCUUAUAUAGAGACCAGCUCAGCCUUCACUGAGAGUCUGUCUGCCCAUUUAAUGCUACGUGUGACUUCAAUUUAAACACAUUUGUACACCACAUCCUUUUAGAAAGGAUUUAAGUCAGUUUCUAAAAUGACUAAUAUAAAAGAAGUAGUAAAGGACAAAAACAUAGCUAAGGAGAGACAAAAAAAAGUACCAGUAAGAAAAGCUCAAUAUGGUUUGUGGGAUGGAGCAUAAAAAUUAUGUAAGCCUCCUGGUAGCCAAGUCAAGUUGGUGUACAAUAUUAGAAUGCAUACAAUUUCCUUAGGGAAACCAAAAGUUUUUCAAGUCCCAAACUUUGAAAGAAAUAUCUGAUGUUAAGGUACAUUGCAGCAGAUAUUGAAUGGUAUAAUGUACUACAUCCUCCACAGAAAUUUCAUAGUUAAUGCAAAAGUUAUGCAAGGGUUUGUCUAUAACUACCUUACAAAAACUAAAGACAUUAUCAAUUCAUCGAAUUCUGUUUCGAGGGGAAAAAGUCUCCAUGAUUUAGCUCUCUUUUCUCAGAUUUUUCUAGGAAAACUAGAAGUAGUAAGAGAUGAUAUAAGACUUGAAUUCUUCCAGCCAUUUGAGCUUCUGACUAUAAGCAGCUACGAGAUAAUCUAAGAUAAAAAAUUUCCCCC